UACAUCUUUAAGAAUACAUGGCUGG
RNAcentral lists this non-coding RNA (25 nucleotides) under Drosophila erecta. Lineage: Eukaryota; Metazoa; Arthropoda; Insecta; Diptera; Drosophilidae. The record is from RNAcentral. RNAcentral also lists the same sequence under 2 other names.